UCAAAUGCAGAGGCACCUGUAUCCGAAGACCUCAGAGAAGUUCUCUUCUUCUCCUAUGAUCAAUGUGAUAUACUCUUUAGGAUUGUCAGAGUUCAUCUCUGAACAGUAGAUCUGAGAAGCAGAAGAGUGACACAAUCAGUGACUCGGCAAGGUUGGGUAAAGGGCGGGCGAAGGAGAUGAGAACAUUUAGACUCUUGCAUCCUGCGCUCGUCACCACUAACACAAGAAACUUCUCAAUGCUUCAGUCAAUUUCCACACGAUGAUGAACACUACAGAGAGCGACACUGGACGCGGAGCACUGCGGAAAUGGGGAAGAAAAUCACAGUGAAGUCCAACUGCUUGAUAAACACAAGCUUAAUUAGUGUGUCAUUUGAGGUUCACGGAGCGAAUGAACCACGAGGGGAGCUGAAGAGAAAAGAGAGAGAGGCUUCCCUGGAUCCAGGAUGGGAGAGGAACGGAUAAUCAAAGGGCCUCGUAGAGGGAGGAUGGAUAUGAUGCGACAAGUCUGAAGUUGAACGAGUCCAUUCCCAGCAUGCAUACACGAAAUACAGGAACUAAGAGAACAGAAACUCCCCAAUUGGAUAAUGUGUUCCUGGGGAUACUUUUUCAAAAGAGUCUAGCAAGUGUCAGAGUUGCAUUUAAGUUGAUGGAAUUUAUUUUGAAACCAGGACAAAAAAGGUCUUGAGCAAUCAGUUUAACACUCAAAUAUAUAUUUGCUUUUAUAAAUAUUUACAGUACCAAAAUAUAUACAAUUGGUUCAACUGAAUACAUAUACACCAAAAUUCAAUAUCAACAACAUAGACAGCUGCAGCAAAAUAACAAAAUCAAAGACACUUCACAUAAAAUAAUAUAAAAAUGCACAUUUAUCUUUAAAGUAAGAACACCAUGUACCACUUUAAUAAUUCAUCCAAAGCCUUACUGAUUCAUAAUAAAUCAUAAACAUGCUCACUCUGCUUCAGAAUUUUACUGUUUGUGUGUAUACGUGUGAGAAUAUGUAACCACGAAUAUGGUCUCAUUUUCUUUUAGGAAUUCUAUGCAGCAUGUCUAUGCAAAUUAAAAGUGUGAUCAAAGAGUAAUACUUAGUUUUGUGUAGGUGCAUGAAAAACUCUGGUCAGGCUGUCUUUUAGUUUACUGCAUAUGAUACUAAACCUCAGUAAACUUGCAUGUAAUCAACUGUAUCACAAUCUUGGUGCUAAUUUCUGUCAUCAGAUGUAAAGCACUUAAAAUUACUGUUAUUCAUAGUAAUUUUACACACUUUUACAUACAGUAUUUGUAAAUAUUUAGGGGCCAUUUCAAUCAUUUGGUUUGUUUUUUAUAUGGCAAGGCAUUUAUUUCAGUCAUGCUGCCAUACUAUUUAUGUACUUUGUUAAAUGAAUGCGCCACUGAUUUAAUGAGCAAAAAUUGCCAACUUUUACACUAAAAAAGAUCCAAAAUAAAGGGGCAUUUACUUUAAAAUUUCUUUCAUCCAAAAUCUAGAGAAAUAUUCCAAUUCCAAUCUGAAUGCAAUCAAAACAGAUAAGUGUAAUUGUAGUUACUCUUCAGUUCAUUGAUCAGACUAAAUUGACUUUUUUUUUUUUUUUUUGCUUUUUGGACCAUGCAAAAUCACCUUGUUUUUCUUUUAAAUUGUUGCCAAAAAUGAUCAGUCCAGGCCUGGCAAAAUGCUUGGCUACGUGCCUCACUACAUUCCAACGUGAGAACUUCCAGGUUUCAGAAUGCACACAGAUAUCCAGGCCGUAGAGGCCUCCGUGUUCCGUAAUGGCCUUCGCUCUUGCCUCUUAUUUUUCCCAUAAGAAUAAAACUCUUUCUGAGAAGUGUGUCCAUUCUGAUUAGAUGAGCUGGGAAGGCUGGGAAAGACCUUCCAACAGAUCAAAGGCUGUCCUUGACCCCCCCUGUGCCUUUGCCAUUGUUAUUUUGAUGUAUGCUCACUUGGUUGACUGUGACCAUAUCACUACCAUCAGGGCUGGUUAAUAUCCUGUGGUGUCCAAAACGAAAAAGCCUACGGUAGUAGAGUUCCUCUACAGGUACUGAGGUGAGUUAGCGCCAAAAAAGACCCCCUAUCAUUAAAACAGGUAAUACAGACGUCCCAUUCAGAUGAGAAAUGAAUAAAAAGCAGCAGGUUAACAUAAAAAAAAAAAAAAUCUUUAUAUAUAUAUAUAUAUAUAUAUAUAUAUAUAUAUAUACACA
Ctenopharyngodon idella (grass carp) is the source of this 2184-nucleotide long non-coding RNA. RefSeq lists it as uncharacterized. The transcript has 4 exons. The record is from RefSeq and is a predicted model, not a curated record. NCBI's taxonomy places the organism in Eukaryota, Metazoa, Chordata, Actinopteri, Cypriniformes, Xenocyprididae.